ACAAAGUUUGAGAGUUAAGAGUGUUUAGGAGAACACAGAGAGAUAUAAGGCUUUCAAGGCAUUCAGUUUCGAUUGAGUUUGAAAAUAAUGUUUUGGGUGCUUGAAAAAAUAUAGAGUGUUUUUGGAAAGUUUUUUGAGAGAAGAGUACUAUUUCACUACUCUUAUAGAUUAACUUUGAGUUCUUCUCUCUUCUAAAUUUCUGGAGCAUUUAUGAAAGUUUACUGGUUCUAUUUCAUAUUAGUUUUGGGUUUUUCAUUCGAGGCUCAAUUGAGUUGAUGCUGGGUGAUUCUGUCUGUUGAAUAUGCUCUAUGACUUCCUAUUUUAAUUUCAACGUAAACGUAAGGUGUUAUAGUUGUUUUUACUUCUUCCUGGGCAUUUGGACUGUGGUUUAGCCUUGAAUUUGGCUCUGUUUGUUCUUGGUGACUGUCGAUCUGCUGUUACAUUUGUUACUGCUGCUGUUGAUCUUUCUUCUUCUUCCAUUGUAAAGUGAUUUCCAGGUAGACAACUUGACAUUGAUAAUUGAGCUGAAAUUAUGAAACAUGAAUAUAUGAAGAGUUGAAACAUGUAUUUUCAUUGAGAUUUCUACAUGAUUCAUGUAGCUAAGCACAUAAGUCAAUGAUGUAUGUGUAUUUCUGUUUGAUUUUGCAAUAAGUGGACUGCAAUACUCAAAAACGUAACAAAUUCUUCUUAUGUUGAGAACAAAUGCACUUAACUUCAUGACUAUAUUAAUGUAAUGGUUUAUGUUAGCUUUAGUUGAUUUUCUGUCAGUUGUUUCAGAAAUUUCUUAAAAAAGUGACUUAGAAACGUGG
This 809-nucleotide long non-coding RNA is filed under the name Nicotiana benthamiana. RNAcentral's name for it is "long non-coding RNA (NBEN_LNC003898)". The record is from RNAcentral. Lineage: Eukaryota; Viridiplantae; Streptophyta; Magnoliopsida; Solanales; Solanaceae.